This is a long non-coding RNA of Diabrotica virgifera virgifera (western corn rootworm), 1475 nucleotides long. RefSeq lists it as uncharacterized. NCBI's taxonomy places the organism in Eukaryota, Metazoa, Arthropoda, Insecta, Coleoptera, Chrysomelidae. The transcript has 2 exons. The record is from RefSeq and is a predicted model, not a curated record.
ACUUGGUACAAACCUUGUAACUAGCGCCCUUUAUGAGAGUCAGAUAUAAAAAUAAAUCCAUAGGAUGUAUCAGUUUCCUAAACAUAAAUAUAUUCGUAUAACAUUUCAUUACAAUGUUGCCAGUAGUUUCGGCAAAAUCGUAAAAAAUGUGUAUUUUUUUUCAACGCCCUGUAUCUUGAAAACGGAUGACGAUGCAAACAUUUUUUACUUAUCAAACUCCAAUUAUUUUUCAGUUUUUUAUCCAUCUUAGAGACGGUGUUGCCUAUUUUUGAAACACCCUGUAUAGUAGUGUAUAUCCCUACUGUGUGUAUAUUCUUCUAAAACUAGCUUGACCAUUUGAUGAUUUGGCAGCAACGCCUGUCCAUUUAUUUUCAGAGGUAUUCCAAUCAAAUCUAUAAAAAUUUUAUGCGAGCAUUCUUUUGUUGCAAUUCAAAGUACAGUUAUUUUGGUGUAAUGGUGUCACUUGCAGACUGACAUACAGAUAACUUGAUUGAUUCAAAAACCUUUUGGUGUAAACAUAUCAACUGAAAUAUUAGCAAUUUACAUAUGGGACAACUAGAAAAUUUUCGCAGAAAAUUAUCAACUCCUUCCAAAAAAGUAUAUCCAUGUGUAAGACCUUUCUAGUGGUUUUCUUUAUAAAUAAAAUGAGUACUUAAUUAUAGUUAAUCAAGAACUAUUAUACAGUAAAACCUCGAUAUAACGGACUAAUUGGGGGAACGGGAUGUCCGUUAAAGCCGAAAGUCUGUUAUAUAAAAAUCGGUUUAAAAUCAGUAAAAUUUUUUUUGAAAAUAUGUACUUACUGUAUUUAGAUACAGUGUACAAAUCUGUAAGUUAAAAAAGAAACCAAGUUUUGUUUGGUGCUUUUUUACUUUUCUACUUCAUCUAAAAACUUUGUGCAAUAUACCUACUCGUUUGGCUGUCAAAAUUAUUCACCGAUCUAUGGGUUAAAUGAGCGAUGUAUUUUUUGGCAAAAACAUACAAUUAAAGUUGCCAUCUGAAUGUUGAAUAUUUUCAGGAGCGUUGUCUAAAAUCAAUAAAUAUUUCACCUCCUUCAGCGGUAUUCCCAGUUUCUUCUCUUGAAAUUUUCUCACUGCAGGUACAAAGUCUUUAAAAUACCAAUUUUUAAAAAUAUCUGUGGUGAACCAUUUCUUAUUAGAGCUAUAAUAUGAAACGGGCAGAUGAUGCAUCAUAUUUUUUAACAACUCUACGUUUACGAGAUUUGCCAAUAAUUAUAGCAGUUAAUCCAUGCAAUCCAUUGGCGUUAACAUAAAACAGUGUUGAGAUCCUGUCCUUGCUGAUUUUUUUUGCAGAAUUCGACUUUUCGUAUUUUUUGCAUUAAAUUUAUUUUUAAAUUUGAUCGGAUUUUUUGUCAGAAGUCCGUUAAAUAGAGGUCCGUUUUAUCGAGGUUUUACUGUAUUAUGUAAAUGUAAUAGAAUAUUGUAUAUUUUUGUAAAAAUAAAUAAUUUAGUUUAAAA